RNAcentral lists this long non-coding RNA (226 nucleotides) under Linum usitatissimum (flax). RNAcentral describes it as "long non-coding RNA (LUSI_LNC002815)". The record is from RNAcentral. Lineage: Eukaryota; Viridiplantae; Streptophyta; Magnoliopsida; Malpighiales; Linaceae.
AAAUUGCCUGAUCUAGCCUGACUUUAACUAAAUGGUCAUGCUCUUGGCCGUUGAUUUAGGUGAAUUGAUCACCAAAAACGCACAAGUAAACAAGUCCACUAUAAAGAUGAAAUUUCUAAAAUCUUGAGAUGAGGUGUAACUAAUGGGAUUUCCCCCUUACUUUUCAUAGUCGUACAAAAUAGCGUUGGGAUCACCUAAAACCAACCAAAAAGUGUUUGUGUUAGUG